UUAUAGCCCCGAUGGGAACGGCAUCCUUUUUAUUUUUUCUUGUCAUUACUUUGUUUGGAUGACAAAUCUUUUGAAAAAAUAAAAAGAUAUAGUGGACAGCGGGAUUAAGC
RNAcentral lists this small RNA (110 nucleotides) under Chryseobacterium sp. FH1. RNAcentral describes it as "Flavo-1 RNA". It matches the Rfam family "Flavo-1 RNA". The record is from Rfam by way of RNAcentral. Lineage: Bacteria; Pseudomonadati; Bacteroidota; Flavobacteriia; Flavobacteriales; Weeksellaceae.